AUUGACAUAGGGACGAGGUCGGUCGCGCUGCAUCCAUCGAUACCUUCUUUGCCGCCUAAAGUACUUGAAGCUGUGAAGCUGAGAGAGAAAGAACCCAGUCGUCUUGGGACUACCACAUCGGCAAAGAUUCAAAAGUUACAAAUUUCGAUUCAUUGACAAACAAGAUGCAGAACUUCCUAUCUCUCAUACUCUUCCUUUGCGUCGCUGUAGGCCUGACAGGCGCAGCCUCCGACUACGAGGCCCUUUUCGACCAAAUAGACGCAUGUAAAAAGCCCGCGGAAAAACUUAUGUGCGUCCGAUGCGCAGAGAAGUUCGAACUCGGGCUAACAGAACAGGAAUGCUGCACAACCGAAGUCGGAUACAACGUCUGUGAUAUCUGCGUAAAUGAUAUGGAGGAAUGCCUGGCAAUCCGGGACGAAUUUUAUUCGGGGGUAUUGCAGAAACGCCAAGAAAAGAAGAGGUUUGGUCGAUUGUUUUUCAACAAGAAAGGGGACGACAUGCGAAAACGGUUUGGAACCGUGUUUUUCGGCGGAAAAGACCAGCCGUAUUUCGGAAAAGCCAAACGCGAAGUGAAGAAGUCCCAAUAAGCUGUCAAUUCGUCGAUAAAAAAAAUUAGUUUAUUGUAUUGCAAAUCAAUCUAAAGCAUUUUUAGAACAUUUUUUUGAUAAUUCGAUAUAGUAGGCCUUUUAUUUAGAAGUAGUGUGGAUAUCUAUGAAGGCCAACGGCGGCAUUCGGGAGGGCCAUCAUUAAGUUCGGUUAAUGGCUAAAAACUUUCAGAAAAUGUGUAAUUAACCCCAAAACGAAAUAAAGGAUCAACACUGACAGCAUUAACCACCAUUUCAGAAAGUGCCGAGUUUCUCAACAAGUGGUGGUGUGACCAAGACGGAGACGGUCUGGUGACUAAUUUUCAUUGAAGAGCUUCCGCAUUGCAUCGCUCACGAAAUACAAUUACCAAUUUGAUACGAAAUCUUUGAUAUCGAACAGAUUACAUUCACAUUCAGUUAUUGAUGGACGACCCAGAGACACACUUACAGUAAUAACAGCAGUGGGAAGAGCCGGCAUAUGUGCUGCCAGCUUUGCUUUCUUGAUGGAACCGAGCCGAUAUUUCAGUCUGGCAGCGUGAGGAUGACUUCUACAGUGUUCGGCUUAUCAUUCUCACUCAAUGUUUCAUUGAUAAAUAAAAUUAUCACAAGUCAAUCUA
Long non-coding RNA from Lineus longissimus, 1201 nucleotides. RefSeq lists it as uncharacterized. The record is from RefSeq and is a predicted model, not a curated record. Lineage: Eukaryota; Metazoa; Nemertea; Pilidiophora; Heteronemertea; Lineidae. The transcript has 2 exons.